GUGAGGAAUAUUGGACAAUGGCCGGAAGGCUGAUCCAGCCAUGCCGCGUGCGGGAAGACGGCCCUAUGGGUUGUAAACCGCUUUUGCGGGGGAGCAAUAAGUUGUACGUGUACAACGAUGAGAGUACCCUGCGAAUAAGCAUCGGCUAACUCCGUGCCAGCAGCCGCGGUAAUACGGAGGAUGCAAGCGUUAUCCGGAUUUAUUGGGUUUAAAGGGUGCGCAGGCGGCUUGUUAAGCGGGAGGUGAAAUGCCGGCGCUCAACGUCGGAAGUGCCUCCCGAACUGGUGAGCUUGAAUGACUCUGCCGUGGGAGGAAUGUGUAGUGUAGCGGUGAAAUGCUUAGAGAUUACACAGAACACCGAUUGCGAAGGCAUCUCACGAAGGGUUGAUUGACGCUGAGGCACGAAAGCGUGGGGAUCAAACAGG
Molecule: ribosomal RNA, 425 nt
Filed under: uncultured rumen bacterium
Lineage: Bacteria
Description: bacterial SSU rRNA
Rfam family: Bacterial small subunit ribosomal RNA
Source: RNAcentral